This 853-nucleotide ribosomal RNA is filed under the name Rhinebothroides sp. MZUSP 7792. RNAcentral describes it as "LSU rRNA". Lineage: Eukaryota; Metazoa; Platyhelminthes; Cestoda; Rhinebothriidea; Rhinebothriidae. The record is from RNAcentral. RNAcentral also lists the same sequence under 1 other name.
AAACGGGUGGCGUCAAGCUGCACGCCCAGAGGAUUCAGCCGGUUAGAGUGUAUCUAUGCGCUUGCGUAUAAAUGGGCCAGAGUAAGGCGUGGUAGUCCGCUGGUAGACAGCGGGCCCUGCCGCAAGGUGGGGAUGUGCAAGCCGGGUGGAUGCCGGAGCACGCUAUCCGUCUGUGGGGCCGUCUAGCCGGUGCACUUUCUCUGUGGUGGACACCACGACCGGUGGAACUGCCAGUCUGCUGUGGCCAAGUCGUGUUCGGUUCGUCCUUGUGGCGAACUGGGCGCGAUCACGGGCAACCUUGGUGAACGGCGUUGAUGUGCCCUCGGGUAUGUCUUCGUGUUAUCGGUAGCCAGUUGUCUUAACGGGCCUGCCUUGCGAUUGUUCUAGCCGUCGUAGGGUGGUCUGGUGGGCCAUGGUGGUAAGAAUAACUGUGCAGGGCACCGGAGUGUUCAGCCUCAAAUGCAGCCAGCAUGCACGCUAGUAGUGUUGCGAUGUGGGUGCUCUCGUGGUCUGCCUGGUGCCGGGUCUGAUUGUCGUGUUGCCUGCGCAAAGUGGGUUCGGCAGUGGCUCGGUUCAGGGUGGGCUUGCGUUGGGUGCUUGCAGUGUUGGUUGUAGUGGGCCUGAUAGUCUGUGGUGUAGUGGUAGACGAGCUACCCGACCCGUCUUGAAACACGGACCAAGGAGUUUAACAUGUAUGCAAGUCACUGGGUCCUACGAAACCCAAAGGCGCAAUGAAAGUAAAGCCUCGGAUCAUUCGUGGUCCGGGGUGAGGUGAGAUCCCGCCGUGUCUCCGCCAGCCUAUUCGGUCAGAAGCAGGCAUACCGCGCGGUGGGCGCAUCACCGGCCCGUCCCA